UCUCCAUUCGUGAAAAAGCCAGGCACCUCGAGAGGCCAUGUGUAGACAGAUGUUCUCUCAUGGUUGACAGCUUCAGUUAAGCUACCGGCCAAUGCCAGCAGCUGACAUAUUCCCUGCUGCUAGGCGCCAUGCCCUUCAGCCCGUUGUUGGGUCUCGUUCUGUUCUCUGAUUCAUGGAUGGGCUGCGACACCUUCACCUCGGCCAGGUCUCGCCUGGGUCCCGAAGAUGCACACAUCCAGAGAAUGACAGAGAGCCAUUUUUCCAGGCCAAGCCUAACUUGUGUUUCCAUAACACUGUGGGAAGCUGCAAAUGCAAGCCACACAGGCCUGUCCCCACCCCUGAACAAAAAGCCCUCUGCUUCCAGAGAUACCGUCCCUAAAUCACCUUUCAUCCAUUGAAGACUCAUCUUAAAAACUAAGGAAAGAAAAUACUGAAGAGAUGGAUUUUCAUCCCAGUUAUCAAGGUUAUCAAGGAG
Molecule: long non-coding RNA, 475 nt
Filed under: Equus asinus (donkey)
Lineage: Eukaryota; Metazoa; Chordata; Mammalia; Perissodactyla; Equidae
Description: lncRNA (ENSEASG00005032608.1)
Source: RNAcentral